GAUGAAGACGUAGUGAAAUGCGAUAAUUAAUGUGAAUUGCAGAAUUCCGUGAAUCAUCGAGUCUUUGAACGCACAUUGCGCCUCAUGGCAUUCCGUGAGGCAUGCCCAUCUCAGCGUUAGAAAAUAUUCUCAAAUUUUAGUUUUGUGCUAAAAUUUGGAUCAUGUCAAAGAAGCUAUUACUAUUAUUGUGAUCGCUCUUUGGAAAUUGAUAGGUCUUUGAGUUGCUACUCAUAGAACGUGAUGAAUCUUUCUUCGUUCUAUUGUAAUUCACUCUGGUAGUCCUAAAACUUGUAUGCCUGUGGCAUAUCUUGUAAUUUGACCUGAGAUUGGGUAGGGAUACCCGCUGAACUUAAGCAUAUCAAUAAGCGGAGGA
This 373-nucleotide unclassified non-coding RNA is filed under the name soil metagenome. RNAcentral's name for it is "partial contains internal transcribed spacer 2 and large subunit ribosomal RNA". The stretch from base 1 to 119 matches the Rfam family "5.8S ribosomal RNA", at positions 35 to 154 of the family's 154-position model. The record is from RNAcentral.